UUUUGGGCUAUGCCUGUUGGGUAAUAAAGGAAUAUUAUUAUUAUUAUUAUUAUCAUCAUAAUCUAUAUUGACAAGGAUUUUGACACUUAACACAUCAAAAACCAAUCCUGUCAACUUGACGGUUGGAUAAUAUAGCUCCGUUUUCAUGAAACUUCAUCUGUAAUUGGGCUUCUGUUGUUGUGUUGUCACUUUAUGAUUUUCUUUCUUAAAAGCUAUUUGACGGAAAAAUGUAUAAUUUCGAUGGGAUAGCCUCAAAUUAUAUGAAAAGGUGGGUCAUCAUCAUAACCUAUACUGACGGGGAUUUUGACAUUUAAGACGUCAAAAACAAAUCCUGUCAACUUUGACGUUUGGACAAUAUAGCGCCCUUUUCAUUAAAUUUUAUCAGUAAUUUGGUUUCUGUUGUGGUGUUAUGUUGAAUCUCAUUAAAAUUUAACUGAACUAAGAUGAUAAAACAAUAAAAUGUAAGAAAAAGCUGCACAAAAUCUGUUUAAAUUCAAUCAGUUCAAGUUAUAUUUCAAGGUCAUGGAACAUUACGGCCACUCAUCGCUUUCCAACAUCAUUUUAAGGGUAUUUUAAGGGUAAUACAAUAAAAGGCAUUAAAAACA
This is a long non-coding RNA of Onthophagus taurus, 605 nucleotides long. RefSeq lists it as uncharacterized. Lineage: Eukaryota; Metazoa; Arthropoda; Insecta; Coleoptera; Scarabaeidae. The record is from RefSeq and is a predicted model, not a curated record.